CCUACGCGAGGCUGCAGUGAGGAAUAUUGGUCAAUGGGCGCGAGCCUGAACCAGCCAAGUAGCGUGAAGGAUGACUGCCCUACGGGUUGUAAACUUCUUUUAUAAAGGAAUAAAGUGAGGCACGUGUGCCUUUUUGUAUGUACUUUAUGAAUAAGGAUCGGCUAACUCCGUGCCAGCAGCCGCGGUAAUAUGGAGGAUCCGAGCGUUAUCCGGAUUUGUUGGGUUUAAAGGGAGCGUAGAUGGGUUGUUAAGUCAGUUGUGAAAGUUUGCGGCUCAACCGUAAAAUUGCAAUUGAUACUGGCAGCCUUGAGUACAGUUGAGGUAGGCGGAAUUCGUGGUGUAGCGGUGAAAUGCUUAGAUAUCACGAAGAACUCCGAUUGCGAAGGCAGCUUACUAAACUGCCACUGACAUUGAUGCUCGAAAGUGUGGAUAUCAAACAGGAGUAGAUACCCCAGUAGUC
This 460-nucleotide ribosomal RNA is filed under the name uncultured bacterium. RNAcentral's name for it is "partial 16S ribosomal RNA". It matches the Rfam family "Bacterial small subunit ribosomal RNA", at positions 338 to 795 of the family's 1533-position model. The record is from RNAcentral.